Molecule: non-coding RNA, 25 nt
Filed under: Mus musculus (house mouse)
Lineage: Eukaryota; Metazoa; Chordata; Mammalia; Rodentia; Muridae
Source: RNAcentral
UGAAAGAGGCAAGGUCUGCAGUGGC